RNAcentral lists this ribosomal RNA (486 nucleotides) under uncultured bacterium. RNAcentral's name for it is "bacterial SSU rRNA". It matches the Rfam family "Bacterial small subunit ribosomal RNA", at positions 501 to 986 of the family's 1533-position model. The record is from RNAcentral.
CUACGUGCCAGCAGCCGCGGUAAUACGUAGGUGGCAAGCGUUGUCCGGAAUUAUUGGGCGUAAAGCGCGCGCAGGCGGAUCAGUUAGUCUGUCUUAAAAGUUCGGGGCUUAACCCCGUGAUGGGAUGGAAACUGCUGAUCUAGAGUAUCGGAGAGGAAAGUGGAAUUCCUAGUGUAGCGGUGAAAUGCGUAGAUAUUAGGAAGAACACCAGUGGCGAAGGCGACUUUCUGGACGAAAACUGACGCUGAGGCGCGAAAGCCAGGGGAGCGAACGGGAUUAGAUACCCCGGUAGUCCUGGCCGUAAACGAUGGGUACUAGGUGUAGGAGGUAUCGACCCCUUCUGUGCCGGAGUUAACGCAAUAAGUACCCCGCCUGGGGAGUACGACCGCAAGGUUGAAACUCAAAGGAAUUGACGGGGGCCCGCACAAGCGGUGGAGCAUGUGGUUUAAUUCGACGCAACGCGAGGAACCUUACCAGCGUUUGACA